This 467-nucleotide ribosomal RNA is filed under the name uncultured bacterium. Its description in RNAcentral is "bacterial SSU rRNA". It matches the Rfam family "Bacterial small subunit ribosomal RNA", at positions 331 to 797 of the family's 1533-position model. The record is from RNAcentral.
CCAGACUCCUACGGGAGGCAGCAGUGAGGAAUAUUGGUCAAUGGGCGGAAGCCUGAACCAGCCAAGUCGCGUGAGGGACUAAGGCCCUGCGGGUCGUAAACCUCUUUUGCCGGGGAGCAGUGGUCCGGACGCGUCCGGACCGGGAGAGUACCCGGAGAAAAAGCAUCGGCUAACUCCGUGCCAGCAGCCGCGGUAAUACGGAGGAUGCGAGCGUUAUCCGGAUUUAUUGGGUUUAAAGGGUGCGUAGGCGGACUGGAAAGUCAGCGGUAAAAUCGAGAGGCUCAACCUCUUUCCGCCGUUGAAACUGUCGGUCUUGAGUGGGCGAGAAGUAUGCGGAAUGCGUGGUGUAGCGGUGAAAUGCAUAGAUAUCACGCAGAACUCCGAUUGCGAAGGCAGCAUACCGGCGCCCGACUGACGCUGAGGCACGAAAGCGUGGGUAUCGAACAGGAUUAGAUACCCGGGUACUA